Molecule: transfer RNA, 76 nt
Filed under: hydrothermal vent metagenome
Description: tRNA-Ser-TGA
Rfam family: tRNA
About the family: Transfer RNA (tRNA) molecules are approximately 80 nucleotides in length.
Source: RNAcentral
CAGGAUAUAGCUCAUUCGGUAGAGCACUUGACAUGAACUCAAGCUGUAGCAGGUUCGAUUCCCGCUAUCCUAAACA